AGAGUUUGUUUCUGGCUCAGGAUGAACGCUAGCGACAGGCUUAACACAUGCAAGUCGAGGGGCAGCGGGGUGUGGCAACACACUGCCGGCGACCGGCGCACGGGUGAGUAACGCGUAUGCAACUUGCCUAUCAGAGGGGGAUAACCCGGCGAAAGUCGGACUAAUACCGCAUAAAACAGGGGUCCCGCAUGGGGAUAUUUGUUAAAGAUUCAUCGCUGAUAGAUAGGCAUGCGUUCCAUUAGGCAGUUGGCGGGGUAACGGCCCACCAAACCGACGAUGGAUAGGGGUUCUGAGAGGAAGGUCCCCCACAUUGGUACUGAGACACGGACCAAACUCCUACGGGAGGCAGCAGUGAGGAAUAUUGGUCAAUGGCCGGGAGGCUGAACCAGCCAAGUCGCGUGGAGGACGAAGGUCCUAUGGAUUGUAAACUUCUUUUGUGCGGGAAUAAAGUCGGGGACGCGUCCCCGUUUGCAUGUACCGUACGAAUAAGCAUCGGCUAACUCCGUGCCAGCAGCCGCGGUAAUACGGAGGAUGCGAGCGUUAUCCGGAUUUAUUGGGUUUAAAGGGUGCGUAGGUCGCCGAUUAAGUCAGCGGUGAAAUCCAGUGGCUCAACCAUUGGACUGCCGUUGAAACUGGCCGGCUUGAGUAUGAUUGAGGCAGGCGGAAUGCGUGGUGUAGCGGUGAAAUGCAUAGAUAUCACGCAGAACCCCGAUUGCGAAGGCAGCUUGCCAAGCCAUGACUGACACUGAAGCACGAAAGCGUGGGUAUCAAACAGGAUUAGAUACCCUGGUAGUCCACGCAGUAAACGAUGAUUACUAGGAGUUUGCGAUACAGUGUAAGCUCCACAGCGAAAGCGUUAAGUAAUCCACCUGGGGAGUACGCCGGCAACGGUGAAACUCAAAGGAAUUGACGGGGGCCCGCACAAGCGGAGGAACAUGUGGUUUAAUUCGAUGAUACGCGAGGAACCUUACCCGGGUUUGAACGCAGGGGGACAGGGGCGGAAACGCCCUUUCCAGCAAUGGCCGCCUGCGAGGUGCUGCAUGGUUGUCGUCAGCUCGUGCCGUGAGGUGUCGGGUUAAGUCCCAUAACGAGCGCAACCCCUGCUGAUAGUUGCCAUCAGGUCAAGCUGGGCACUCUAUCGGGACUGCCUGUGUAAGCAGGAGGAGGGUGGGGAUGACGUCAAAUCAGCACGGCCCUUACGUCCGGGGCUACACACGUGUUACAAUGGGGCAUACAGCGAGUUGGCCGCUGGCAACAUCGGUCUAAUCCAUGAAAGUGUCCCUCAGUUCGGACUGGGGUCUGCAACCCGACCCCACGAAGCUGGAUUCGCUAGUAAUCGCGCAUCAGCCAUGGCGCGGUGAAUACGUUCCCGGGCCUUGUACUCACCGCCCGUCAAG
RNAcentral lists this ribosomal RNA (1397 nucleotides) under uncultured bacterium. Its description in RNAcentral is "bacterial SSU rRNA". It matches the Rfam family "Bacterial small subunit ribosomal RNA". The record is from RNAcentral.